This is a transfer RNA of 73 nucleotides. It matches the Rfam family "tRNA". Rfam says of the family: Transfer RNA (tRNA) molecules are approximately 80 nucleotides in length. Their secondary structure includes four short double-helical elements and three loops (D, anti-codon, and T loops). The record is from Rfam.
GGCUCUAUAGCUCAGCUGGCAGAGCGCAGGUCUUGUAAACCUGAGGCCCCGAGUUCGAUUCUCGGUGGAGCCA